Molecule: long non-coding RNA, 1166 nt
Filed under: Bos indicus x Bos taurus (hybrid cattle)
Lineage: Eukaryota; Metazoa; Chordata; Mammalia; Artiodactyla; Bovidae
Description: lncRNA (ENSBIXG00005027947.1)
Source: RNAcentral
GCAGCAGGUGGUACCUUCUGAGCACAUCCAGGAGUAGUGCCAUUCCAAUCAGUCCAGGUAGCAAAGGCCUGCGGUGAUGUCCGCGAAGCUUCAGACGUUUGGAAGCCUGCUGCCUGGAGAGAGCAGACUGAGUCCUUGUUUCUGGAUGGAGGACGAAGCAAGGGAAGGAUCAGUCGAGAGGAGCACUUGGUGUGUGCAGGAAAGGAGAGGGUCAUUAUGGAGUCUCCUGGGAUCUCAGCAAACCAGGGAAAGGGGCCAGGACUUCCAUUACCCAGGAAGGUCAAGAAAGCCAGCAGAAGAACUGGGUUCCGGCAUUUGCACCUCAAACUUGUGCUCCUAUCAUCCGAUGGUGACAACCCAUCUGAUUCUGUGUGUGCAGCUGGCAUUGGCUCUGCCAAGCUGCAGCUGGGAGCUGACUGGAUGAGACAGUGACAAGACGAGAGGGCCUCACUUACAGCAUGUGGGAAGGAGGGGUAUAAAUUGGACAUUCAGGCUCUAAGGGCUGCUAAUAGUGAAAGGAGUAACUACAGCCUCUGUUUAGGGGGUCAUAUCCAAGGUGAUGCUGCGCCACCCUUCGCUUUCAUAGUGCUCCCCACCUGCUCCUCCCUCAUGACUUGCUUGGGAGCCCACACUCCCCAGGCCACAAAGACAAGAAAAGGAGCAGGCACAUCUCUGCCUGUCUGCAGGUUAAGGACUCCUUAGUGGGUUCCUAGUGAGUGGUAAGUGGCAGGCAUGUUUUACAACCCCAGAUUAAAGGCUCCUUCCAUAUAUGUUUAUGUUUUAUGUCACUCAGAUUUCGUUUUUCUGUGAGUAAAAUGCAAGUUGAGUUUGGCAAUCAAGGCCACCAUAACCAUAUUACUUAGCUGUGGUUGGUGUCUUCAAUAUAUGCCACCCUUCUCCACCCUGCUCCCUGCCACAGGGCCUCUGACUUCUGUUGGGUUCAGCUACUUGGGAGCUCCAGAGGGAUAUCUGAGUGAGGGGAGUAUGAUGACAGGGUGUUUAUUCCUUUGGGUCUAAGCGUGAUUCUGACUUUAUGAGACUGAAGCUUGCAAUUCUAUUGGUCCACAAAUAUCAGAGAUACAACUGCUUUCAAUAGUAUAUGCUCUGACUCUUUAUGUCACAACUUUGUAAAUAAAAUUUUUUAGAAAAAGAAGGGAAAUAUAAUC